This 172-nucleotide ribosomal RNA is filed under the name Helicobacter pylori PZ5056. Its description in RNAcentral is "partial 16S ribosomal RNA". It matches the Rfam family "Bacterial small subunit ribosomal RNA", at positions 1360 to 1533 of the family's 1533-position model. Lineage: Bacteria; Pseudomonadati; Campylobacterota; Epsilonproteobacteria; Campylobacterales; Helicobacteraceae. The record is from RNAcentral.
CGGUGAAUACGUUCCCGGGUCUUGUACUCACCGCCCGUCACACCAUGGGAGUUGUGUUUGCCUUAAGUCAGGAUGCUAAAUUGGCUACUGCCCACGGCACACACAGCGACUGGGGUGAAGUCGUAACAAGGUAACCGUAGGUGAACCUGCGGUUGGAUCACCUCCUUUCUAG